GGCAGGCUGCGCGGUUCGUUAGGAGCCAUUUUCCUCGGGCCCUAUAAGAUUCCUAUGGGAGCUGACCCUGCCGGAGACCGUGGUCUCUGGCACUCGGCGCCCACCUACAUAUGUAGGGACGCCGGGAAUCGGUGCUCCGACGGCUGUCGCGGCCUUGCU
This 159-nucleotide non-coding RNA is filed under the name Methyloligella halotolerans. RNAcentral describes it as "6S / SsrS RNA". It matches the Rfam family "6S / SsrS RNA". Rfam says of the family: E. coli 6S RNA was the first non coding RNA to be sequenced, but its function was unknown until recently. The record is from Rfam by way of RNAcentral. Lineage: Bacteria; Pseudomonadati; Pseudomonadota; Alphaproteobacteria; Hyphomicrobiales; Hyphomicrobiaceae.